Vicugna pacos (alpaca) is the source of this 416-nucleotide non-coding RNA. Lineage: Eukaryota; Metazoa; Chordata; Mammalia; Artiodactyla; Camelidae. The record is from RefSeq and is a predicted model, not a curated record.
GUUAUGCAGUUGACUACAUGAAGAGUAACCGUCCAAACUACAAAUUAGGAUUUGCUCCUUGCUCCAUUCCAAUUAUGGCCGAGCAUUUCCAGGAAUCCCACAUAUAUGCAGUGAUGUACCAUCUGUUGAUAGUAAUCCUUGGUAAUGAUCCACACAUCAGUCCACUGGGUUGCGUGGCUCACCCCUCAGGACACAGGAUGUGCAUUUAACUUAAAUGGAGCUGUAGCCAUGGUAAAUUGUGUCCACUCUUAAAGAUGUCACCUCUUCUGCACACUCCAGAGGACCAGUUCCUUCGUGACUCCAUGGAGACCAGGCAGACGGGGCAGCGGGAUGGUCUAGUAUAUUCUGUAGCUAAAGCUUCUUUCCAUUUCCAGGCUGCACAUUUCCAGCUCUGAAAUUCUACUGUGUGUUUCUUC